This 309-nucleotide ribosomal RNA is filed under the name uncultured fungus. RNAcentral's name for it is "SSU rRNA". It matches the Rfam family "Eukaryotic small subunit ribosomal RNA", at positions 39 to 352 of the family's 1831-position model. The record is from RNAcentral. Lineage: Eukaryota; Fungi.
AAAGAUUAAGCCAUGCAUGUCUAAGUAUAAGCAAUCUAUACAGUGAAACUGCGAAUGGCUCAUUAAAUCAGUUAUCGUUUAUUUGAUAGUACCUUACUACUUGGAUAACCGUGGUAAUUCUAGAGCUAAUACAUGCUAAAAACCCCGACCUCUGGAAGGGGUGUAUUUAUUAGAUAAAAAACCAAUGCCUUCGGGCUCCUUGGUGAUUCAUGAUAACUUUACGAAUCGCAAGGCCUUGUGCCGGCGAUGGUUCAUUCAAAUUUCUGCCCUAUCAACUUUCGAUGGUAGGAUAGUGGCCUACCAUGGUUU